AACGAACGCUGGCGGCAGGCUUAACACAUGCAAGUCGAACGCCCCGCAAGGGGAGUGGCAGACGGGUGGGUAACGCGUGGGAAUCUACCCAUCCCUACGGAAUAACGCAUGGAAACGUGUGCUAAUACCGUAUACGCCCUACGGGGGAAAGAUAUAUCGGGGAUGGAUGAGCGCGCGUUGGAUUAGCUAGUUGGUGGGGUAAAGGCAUACCAUGGCGGCGAGCCAUAGCUGGUCUGAGAGGAUGAUCAGCCACAUUGGGACUGAGACACGGCCCACACUCCUACGGGAGGGAGCAGUGGGGAAUAUUGGACAAUGGGCGCAAGCCUGAUCCAGCCAUGCCGGGUGAGUGAUGCAGGCCUUAGGGUUGUAAAGCUCUUUGACCGGAGAAGAUAAUGACGGUAACCGGAGAAGAAGCCCCGGCUAACUUCGUG
This 431-nucleotide ribosomal RNA is filed under the name uncultured bacterium. RNAcentral's name for it is "partial 16S ribosomal RNA". It matches the Rfam family "Bacterial small subunit ribosomal RNA", at positions 29 to 507 of the family's 1533-position model. The record is from RNAcentral.